GCCUGCUGUGGCUCUAAUUUUAACCUGGAGCAUUAAGGAUGCAACAUACUGGGUGUGAUCCCUCUGAACCAGCCCCUGUGCAGUGUCCUGCCCAGUUCCCCUGUCCCAAGGAAUAACCCCUGAGGGAUGGAUUCCAGCUCAGGCCAUGCAGGAUGGGGCAUGAAUUACCUCCUAGGACAGAUGUGAGGUCAGGUUCUACAUCUGUGUGUGGUCCCACCGUGGAGUUGCUGCCUUGUGGGAGCCCAGCCCUGGCCACAGCCAUCAGCCAGAUAAGGCGUUUGCUCCUCUCUCUGCUCCUUACCCACAGAUGGAUCUUGCUUGCAGCUCUUCAGCAAUUCAGCAAGGGCAGGAUGAGUUUCCUACAAACAAUGCAGUGGUAAAACAAUUGUUGGGCCUCUUCUACUUGUUGAAGCUGCAGAACUCGGAUUGCUGCUGAGGAUUGUGUGGGAAGAGGAAAAAUAUUGAUCUGGUGUUUGGAAAUUUCCUGUAAUGACAGCAGAAGAAAAAAUAUGUACAUAUUUUGCUUUUCCUCCAUUCUGGAAAUAGGAUCUGGGCCAGCUCUCUGACUCUGCAGGCCUGCCCUGUCCCCUGGGAAGGGACCUCCUGCUACCCUGGUCACUGGUGACCUUGUAGAAGACAUGGAAAUGCUGACUGUCACAGCACUGGAGGGAGCAGAGAAGGAUGCAGCAGCAUCACGAGCUGAGGUGGAACCAGUAGAAAAAGCAGCAGCAACAAGGGAGGUGGAAAGCCCAGAGGGAGCAGAUCCGGGUGGAAAGGUGGUCACUCCUGAAGGAGCAGCAGCAAUAGUACUAGAAGCAUCAGAGAAUCCAGAGGCAGAAGGUGUCACUGAAGCACUUGCCCGGGCAGCAGAAAGGAUUGCAAACUCAGAAGUAACCAAGGUGUUGCAAUUGGCAAUAGCAGAGCUCAAAGAGAAGAGGAGGAGCACAUGGCUAAAGCCGAGGGACACCACUCAGCAGGAGGAGCAGGAUGACUGGGUGAAAGAGGGGGAGAGGUGAAAUGAAACGGAGGAGGGGGUGGUGUUCUGGGUCAUACCUAAUGGGGGUCUGGUACCCUGACAUUGUGACAACUCCUGGAAUGCAAUAGGGCUG
This is a long non-coding RNA of Apus apus (common swift), 1109 nucleotides long. RefSeq lists it as uncharacterized. The transcript is spliced from 6 exons. Lineage: Eukaryota; Metazoa; Chordata; Aves; Apodiformes; Apodidae. The record is from RefSeq and is a predicted model, not a curated record.